RNAcentral lists this long non-coding RNA (377 nucleotides) under Androctonus crassicauda. Lineage: Eukaryota; Metazoa; Arthropoda; Arachnida; Scorpiones; Buthidae. The record is from RNAcentral.
AUCCAAUGAGACUGCUCAGUUACUAAGGUCACGAACAUAGUAAUCUAAUGAUAUCGGCCAGCCAUAGCCUACAAAGACUGUAGGCUAUGGUGUGAACUAAUAGGAAUUGAAUGAAAAAGGAACAACCAUUAUGUUCAAGUUAAAAUCAACAGCACAGACAGAAGGAGACAUACCAAAAACCGAACAAGCUGGUCGUUCUCAGGCAGAAGGAGAAACACAAUCAGCCAAAGUUGCAGGUUAUUUAUUGAGAGCCCUUGCACCUGCCAAUAAUGUGAAAGAUGACAUAAUCAUUGCCCCGCGGGACAUCAAUUUUUCAAACCCCCAUAUUGUUAUUUUCAAGUAAAUAAAGGACCAUUGUAAAUAAAUCUGAUAUCAAU